Pteropus alecto (black flying fox) is the source of this 1272-nucleotide long non-coding RNA. RefSeq lists it as uncharacterized. The record is from RefSeq and is a predicted model, not a curated record. NCBI's taxonomy places the organism in Eukaryota, Metazoa, Chordata, Mammalia, Chiroptera, Pteropodidae. The transcript has 4 exons.
ACUUAGUGUCCACCUGCCGGGGCGUGACGGUCGGCGCCUGUGGCCCGUGGAAGUGUUCCACUCGAGUGGAUUCCUGUGAAACGUUAACUGCGUGAACAUCGCCGAUUCGAAGAAAAGAAAAGUGGAAUCAGAAAACCCUGGGUAAGAGGAGUUUCGGAGUCUCUCUCGUGAAACGAAGAACAACGCUCGCUAGCUGGUUAGGACAAAUAUUAGAGGUAAAAAAAAAAAAAAAAGUGGCCUUAUCUGUGCUUUCCACUGCUAUAUCCUCAACGUCUUGCAGGUGGCACUUUGCUGAAAAUUCGAGGAUUCAGUGGGAGACGAGGCAGCUGUUUAGUGUACCCCGAAGUCGUGGCCAGUUCCCAAGCGCUUCCUGACCAGCUGCGUGACCUUGUGAAUAAUAUAUAACCUCUCUGAGCCUGUUUCCUCAUUCAUAAACUGAGGAUUCUAAAGUAACCACCUCAUUAGAUUUUGAUAGGGAUUAAGUCAUCAUAUAAAGCAAAGACAAUUGCUGUGGCAUACAGGAAGUGUUCGAAGUGGCAUUAUGACAAGUUGCUCAACCUCCCAGGCAAUUCACGCACUGGAGCGAAAAGAAACUCAAACAGCACCGAAGCAUGUACAGUGAAAGGUCGACACAGCCCUUGGCUCAGAAGGAAUUGCUAUAAACGACUCUCCGUCCCCCCUCCCGGCAAAGCCUCCUGUGUGUGGCAGUGUAUGUGUGCACGCACAUCCUCAGAAACGAGCAGCCAGCGGGGCCAGAUGCUCCUGAUGGCUCAUCCCUAACAUUGGCACUUGCUGGUAUAUUCUGGAUCGAGAGCAGCAUAUACUGUUCCUAUUCAGAAUGAGUAUUUCUUAACAUUCUCAGCACGAUUUUCUUUUUAAAGCUCCCUUAAGCUUUUUGAGAAAGUCCGUGGGCUACACCCUCCUCCCCUCCACCCCCGCAACUCCCCAGUCGCGGCCCCCACAGCUCUGAGCAGAGACUCCCCAGUUGCGGCCCACUCAGGUUUUCUGGGCCUGUGGCCUGUGGUCAAACCAGCAGCAGAGGGUGAGAGUGUGGGUGGGGGAAGCAAAAGAGGAAGAGAAAACAAAUUUUCCAUGAGUAGCUGAGAAAGAGCAGAAGGAGCAAAAUCAAACGGACACGGGGCGCUAGCUCCCCAAAGUGUUUUACUGCGUGUAUUUAAGUGAGAGGCGUCAGGAAGAGGGCUCUACAGGGUGUAAAGGGCAGUGGGCACGGGGACACCCGGCUCUUACAGUGGUAGCGGCAGCUGCGCAUGA